CCCUUUACCCUUGUCAGAGUCUCUCCCGGGAGACUGCUGUGCUUCUUGCCUCUGUUCCAAAGAGAGUGAAGCAACGCUCCGCACUGGUUCAGAUCUGGCCAAGGAGCAUGUAGGAGCGGGUUUAGCUUUCCCCGUCUCUGAAAGCAGCUGCAGGGAUGUUUCCAUCAGAAGCAUUUUCAGCCGCAGGGUCCCUGUUGCGCCGAGCCCUUGACUUGAGGCUCGUACAGUGGAGGCACUUUGUGAGAAUGGGGGUUGCCCCAGGCACUUCACACAAUGUGAGUGCCCAUUGGCCCAUGGCAUGGAGUCCUGACAGGAAACACACUUUUUGAAUCCUGAAGCCCCUGGCAUUGUGAACUAGAAAUGGCAGGGGAGACCAGGAGACAAGCCUGAAGCGAAAAGAGACCAGGGAAGAGAAGUAGCACUGCCCCGAGUCCCAUCUUCAGCCGGGGACAGUAGAGAAGGAACUGGGUGGGAUGCGGGACUCAGGAGCUCAGGAAGAUUCCAACGAGACGGGAGAUACCAACUGAGCACCUGCAUCCCGACCAGGCACGAAAAUCUCUGAUCAACGGUGCCAGGAUGCACUGACACCUAGAGUGGAGCACCCACAGGGACAGCACUCAAAGAAGAAUUUCAGAUAUCAGGAUCAAAGUAAGUGGCACACAGCAGUUCAGCAACUCUGAUUCCUGUUCAGAUUCGAAGCUUGUGAUACACUGCAUGAUCAUCCACGAUGUGUUAAUAACAGUUACUACAACAGUCGAGAGCAGUGCGGGAUCGAUCCUCUCACACGGAGAUGGCAGGCGUACAAUAAAUAGGGGCCAUUGAAAAAUGCUGUGAAACGCAGUUGGAAGACUACAGAAUUCUGGGACAGAAAAUAAUGCAUCAUGGGAUGUUGAGCCCACACCAAGAUUUGCUGUGAUCCAUUUCGCCUUCCCAAAAGUCCUAGCUGCAGAAAGUGCAGGCCCAGCUCUUGACAUGUGGCUCAGACUGUCGAGGAUAUGUUCGACUUAGGCUUGAGACCUGGCCCUGAUAAGCCCCUUGUCGAGGUAAGGAUAGAUUUGGACACCUCAGCAUCUCAGGUAAGCUGCUACCACUGCCAUCUACUUUGUGAAUACUCUCAGAGCUGGUGAGAGGCUGAAGAGUAGGGCCAUGAAUUGAUAAUGGCUCUGGCCUACUAUAAAUUGGCGGAAUCUCCUGGGUCUGCAGAAAAUAGAAAUAUGGAAGUAGGCAUCUUUCAAGUCGAGGGCGGCGUACCAGUGUCUUGGAUCCAGAGAGGGGAUAAUGGAGGCCAAGAGACCAUGCGGAACUUCAAUUUUUUGAGAUGCUUGUUGAAGUGAUGCAGGUCUAAGAUGGGCCUGAGUCCCCCUUUGGUCUCCGGUAUUGAGAAAUAUUGGGAGUAGACCCCUUUCCUUUUUGGCUCUAGAGCAGAGGUGGGGAACCUCUGGCCCACAGGCUGGAGCCGGCCCGCUGCUUAAUUUAAUCCAGCCCAUGGCAAGUAUCUGCGCAGCUGGCUGGAAGCCCCGAGCUUUAGCACUGCCCCCCUCCCCCCACAGCUCCCGGUCGGAGGGGCGAUCAGGGAAGCUCCACAUGCUGCUCCCGCGCCCAGCAUCAGCUCCACAGUUCCAACUGGCUGGGAACUGUGGCCAAUUGGAGCUGUGGGGGCAGUGACUGCAGGCACGGGCACGCACCAUGCAGAGCCCCCUGGCCUCCCCUCUGCCUAGGGGCCAGACAAGCCUGCUGCUUCUGGGAGCGGUGUGGAGCUAGGGCAGGCAGGGAGGGAGCCUGCCUUAGUCCCGCUGUGCCACUGAUCAGGAGCCACGGCAGGUAAGUGUCACCUGGACAGAGUCCGCACCUCGAACCCCCUGCCCCAUGUCUGAACUCCCUGCUGCAUCCUAACUCUUUCCCAGACCCUGCAUCCCUACCUGCACCCUAACCCCCAGCUGAGCCCCCUCCAAAACCCAAACUCCAUCCCAGAGCCCACACCCCUAUCCACACCCCAACCCCCUGCCCCAAUUCUAACCCCCCUAUACCCUAACUCCCUCCCAUAGCCCUCUCCCCGACCUGCACCCAAACCCCCUGCCCCAGUUCGUAACCUCCCUCCCACACCCUAAAUCCUUCUCCGACCCCAGUUGAGCCUUGUGCGAGAGCCCUGAGACUGGAGCCAUGAACUGUGCCGCAUGGAGAUGGCCGAUGCCAUCGACUGAGCUGCAGAAUCGGCUGUGUCCAACGUCGCUUGCAGAGAGGCCCUGGCCACUGCCUCUCAGGCGCUGCAGCUGGUUCUGCCACCACCACUGGUGCUGACUGCACUGAGGUCGCCAGGGUUUUGGUACCGGGGUCCAGUUCUGAGUUGGUCUCCGGAGAUGGCCAUGUCGAAGCCAGGGCCUGUCUUUGAGAAACUACCAAGGAUGCCUGUUGGGAAUAUGGUCCUGGCACGGGAAGGAACCCCCAAGGGUUCCAAUACUGCCAUUGGGGUGGCCAGGGUGGAGCUGUUGUUUGCUGGUGGCUAUGGUGGACCGGAGAGCAAUGCCACACUGGGGAGCGGUGAUGUGGGGCCAGUGACUAGUGUCUCAGUGCCAGAGAUGCAUGGCGUGGUGCUGGAGAUUGGUGCUGAGACGGUGGAGUCCGGGAGAACAGCGAAUGACGCCACAGUGAUGGGGAGCGUUGAGCUGGCGACUGGUGCCGCAAUGGCGAUCUGCGCUGUAGCAGAGACCAAGUAGACAGCCUCAUUGAGGGUUUCCCUUUAGAGGGGACUGCCCUCAAGGACUCUCCCUGAGUCUGGCCCUGGUCUGGAAGUGUGGGCGGCAUGGGGAGAGACAUCAAGUCCCUUGCAGGUUGACAGGCCUCUCAUGUCGCGAGGGCCAGGAGAUGCAAUAGGCCCUGACUGCUCCCGGAAGUCGGUGGCAGGUCGUGCACUGGGCUCGGCACCCUAGGCUGCGUCUCCGCCACCAAUUGAGGUUCCGUGGAUGACGAGCAGCCUGGCAUGGGUCUCAGCUUGUUCUGGGACUCCCAUGUAGCUGUCUGUGGUAUUGGAGAGUGCCCCCUAUCCAACCGCAACUUCUUGUGCCUCUUCUUGGGAGUGGGUGAAGGGGAGUGGCACCGAAGGGCCUGGUGCCGGUGGAGCACUCCGCACUCAGUCUGAUGUGCUCAGUGCCGAGUCGGAGCGGCAUGAUUCCAAUACAGGGCGUAGGGUAACCCCCAAUAGCAGGGCUUUCACCCAAAUGUCCCUGUCCUUGAGAGUGCACGGUCUGAAACUUUUACAGAUCCUGCACUUCUCUUCAACAUAUGCCUCCCCAAGGCACUUAAGACAGCUCUUGUGUGGGUUACGAGCAGACAUAGGUUUAUGACAGGCAGCAUACAGCUUAAAUCCAGGGACCAGGGCAUGCUAACUAACUAACUAUUCACUACUUCAACUAUUUACAAGAAAAAACUCAGAGAAAUUAAGAACAGUGAACCACUAAGGAGCUUGGGAGAGUAAGGUGAGAAGGAACUGAGAGGGCCCAGGGCCGGCAACGCCCAAUGUAUAAGGGGACUGUUGACCUCUUACUAAAACUCAGUGGGGGGUGUUUUGAAAACAGCAGAAAAUCAGCCCAGGGAACAGGUCAGUGCUGGGAGCAGAGCUGCAACAACAAAAGCCGGAGAAGCAACCCAGAGAGCAGACCUGUGCUGGGAGGAGAGGAGGAGAACUGCAGGAACCAGAGCCAAAGGAGCCAGAAAAAGCAGCCCAGGGAGCUGGAGGUAGAGCAGCAGCAACAGCAGUGUUGAGGCAGAGUGGAGCUGGGGCUGGAGUAGUCCAGAGCCGGGUGCGAUGAGCAGCAUGGGAGAGCGAGAGGGACCCUGGACAGCAGGCCCAGCACAGAGAGACACCUCCAGCCAAGAGGCCCUGCAGGCCAGAGUUGGAGGGGGAUCAUAACCCCGACGGGGCAGGGGCGAUGCUGGGAAGAAGGGUCCUGCCACCUAGAGCCUCAAAGUGUGUGGCCCCGCCAGAGCAAGUGUCCAACCCACAGCAUCCCUGCAGCACAGCCAGGGUCUGAGAAGGAGGCCUGGGACGUGUGAGGAACAGACCGAACUUCCCUUACUUUCCAGAGACGCUGGUCGUGAUGUCCCCGUGCCACAGAGCGGGGUGAUAUAUUUUCCUUUAACCUUUCCCACUUUUCCCUUAUUUUUUUAAAUCGAUUGCUGUUUAAUAAAUUGUAUUUGCUUUGAACUAUAUGUAAUGAUCAGUGGGUCAGGAAAGUGCCCAGUGUGGAGAGAGCACCUGGGAGUGGGGACACCCUAGCCCCUGCCCUUAGUGACCACGACAAGGUUGGGGGGUCGAGGCCCCCAGCAUCCUGUAUCCAGCCUUCUUGGGGUUACGAGGACUCUGCCACACAGGAGAGGUGAAGGGGAGCCCUUGAGGUCAUCAGCAGAGGCGACCAUGCAGAGUACAUCAGCAGAGUUGACCAUGAUGGAGUCCCAGAAUCGCUAAAGAGCUCCAGCAUAGAUCGAACGGUAGGUACGGGAUCUGAUCACUGUAUGGGGAGAGGAAUCCGUGCUAUCAGAACUACGUUCCAGUUUUUGA
Long non-coding RNA from Dermochelys coriacea (leatherback sea turtle), 4555 nucleotides. RefSeq lists it as uncharacterized. The record is from RefSeq and is a predicted model, not a curated record. NCBI's taxonomy places the organism in Eukaryota, Metazoa, Chordata, Testudines, Dermochelyidae. The transcript has 4 exons.